AGUUAAGUGACUAAGCGCACAAGGUGGAUGCCUUGGCAAUCAGAGGCGAAGAAGGACGUGCUAAUCUGCGAAAAGCUUGGAUGAGUCGAUAAGAGGCGUUUAAUCCAAGAUGUCCGAAUGGGGAAACCCAGUAGGUGAAGAACCUACUAUCACCCAGUGAAUACAUAGCUGUGUGAGGCAAACCGGGAGAACUGAAACAUCUAAGUACCCCGAGGAAAAGAAAUCAACCGAGAUUUCGUUAGUAGCGGCGAGCGAACGCGAAAGAGCCAGUUAGUGAUAGCAGUAAAGUUAGGGGAAUGUUCUGGGAAGGACAAUCGUAGAGGGUGAUAAUCCCGUACCUUAAAACUCCAUUGUGGUACUAGGCUAACAACAAGUAGGGCGGGACACGUGAUAUCCUGUUUGAAGAUGGGGGGACCAUCCUCCAAGGCUAAAUACUCCUGAUUGACCGAUAGUGAACCAGUACUGUGAAGGAAAGGUGAAAAGAACCCCGGCGAGGGGAGUGAAAUAGAACCUG
This 514-nucleotide ribosomal RNA is filed under the name Mannheimia haemolytica. Its description in RNAcentral is "partial 23S ribosomal RNA". It matches the Rfam family "Bacterial large subunit ribosomal RNA", at positions 1 to 552 of the family's 2925-position model. The record is from RNAcentral. Lineage: Bacteria; Pseudomonadati; Pseudomonadota; Gammaproteobacteria; Pasteurellales; Pasteurellaceae.